UAUUUGGGGUAGGACAGGUGGUGCAUGGUUGUCGUCAGCUCGUGUCGUGAGAUGUUGGGUUAAGUCCCGCAACGAGCGCAACCCUAUUGCUAGUUACCAUCAUUAAGUUGGGGACUCUAGCGAGACUGCCAGUGAUAAACUGGAGGAGGGUGGGGAUGACGUCAAAUCAUCAUGCCCCUUAUGACCUGGGCUACAAACGUGAUACAAUGGCUGGAACAAAGGGAUGCGAAGCAGUGAUGUGGAGCGAAACCCAUAAAAACAGUCUCAGUUCGGAUUGAAGUCUGCAACUCGACUUCAUGAAGUCGGAAUCGCUAGUAAUCGCGGAUCAGAACGCCGCGGUGAAUACGUUCUCGGGGUUU
This 359-nucleotide ribosomal RNA is filed under the name uncultured Acholeplasma sp. RNAcentral's name for it is "bacterial SSU rRNA". It matches the Rfam family "Bacterial small subunit ribosomal RNA", at positions 1021 to 1382 of the family's 1533-position model. Lineage: Bacteria; Bacillati; Mycoplasmatota; Mollicutes; Acholeplasmatales; Acholeplasmataceae. The record is from RNAcentral.